Molecule: long non-coding RNA, 1276 nt
Organism: Apis dorsata (giant honeybee)
Lineage: Eukaryota; Metazoa; Arthropoda; Insecta; Hymenoptera; Apidae
Exons: 2
Source: RefSeq, a predicted model, not a curated record
UUAAUUUAUAAAAAAAAAAGAAAAGAAGAUUCUAGUUUGUCAUGGAUCAACGAAUUAAAUCGGAGACGGCGGUAAUAGGCCCUUAUUUUAGAGCAUUUACAUUUUUUUUUAUGAAACCAUUCUUUUUAUGUCAAUUCUAUAUCUCAGACGAUAAUCGCUAAAUCGAUUUGAAUUUGGUCGUUCUUUUACAUGUGCGCGCGCAGAUUACAGUUAUCAUAUGCAUUAGUUCCGAUUGUUCAGUAUUGUUCGAUAUCGGACGCGAAAAUUUAAAGAGUUGUUCAAGUAUUGUAAUCAUAUGAUAUAAAGCUCAAUCAUAAUUAAAUUAAAAGAAUAUAUCUUAAAAAAUACGAAAAUUAUAUAUAGAACGGAAGAAUAUCAUUACAAAAGAAUAAGCAAUGUCGUUACAAAUUCCGAUGCAACGUCGCAACUAUUAAUAACUAAUUAUAAAGAAUACUUUUGGUAAUACUUUUUUGUAUUAUUCUUCUAAUAUAUUUUUAAUAUUUUUUACAAUUCUGUAACGAAGAAAAAUAAUUGGAAAUAUAGAACGAAGUAUACAUAUAUAGAGAGAUCCAUUUUAGUCUAGAAGUGAGUAUUUGAAAAAGCCAUUAAUUCAACAUGUUUGAAACACUCUAUACAUGUAUAAAAAGUUGAAUACUCAGAUGAAACGUCUUUUCUCUUUGAGUAUUGGAAAAAAGAAUCACUAUGUAAUUUUUUGUAAUUCUAAGUUAUUUACAAUGAAAGAUUAAUACAUACACAUCAUAUCGAUCGAUAAUUAUAUAAAAUUCAUAUUUUUAGAUUAUACAAAUAUUCGAACAUAAAUAUGAUUGAUACUAUUUCGAAUAAUUAUAAAAUAAUUAAUCAAUUUUAUUAAUUAUGGUUAAUCUCUUUCUGUUGUGAUAUCUAAUGCAUAAAACAUGCAAUAUAUUAAUCUUUAGAUUAUUUUCAUCUUAAUAUUUAGACGAUAGGAAUAUCUAAAAGGUAAAAAGAUUGCUAAAAAAUUUAAGUAUGCUCGUAUAAAAAUUUUCGAAAAUUCACUUAAAAAUUUCAAAAUAAUUCAAAAUAUCAAGUUAUAAAAGUACAAAAUUGAUGGUAUAAAAAACUGAUUUCUAUUGUCAAUUGUAUAAAAAGGAUCGUGAUUCAUAUCACAUAUCUUAAACUCAUCAGUCGCAUAGAAUAUCACAGGAACAUUAGUAAGUGCCAUUAGAUUUUUAUGUAUCAAAUAUAAUAGAUAUUAUAUUGCUCGUGCAUGUAUUAAAAAAUAUAAAGAAUAAUAAAA